Molecule: transfer RNA, 77 nt
Filed under: Gammaproteobacteria bacterium
Lineage: Bacteria; Pseudomonadati; Pseudomonadota; Gammaproteobacteria
Also listed under: 2 other names
Description: tRNA-Met
Rfam family: tRNA
About the family: Transfer RNA (tRNA) molecules are approximately 80 nucleotides in length. Their secondary structure includes four short double-helical elements and three loops (D, anti-codon, and T loops).
Source: RNAcentral
GGCUAGGUAGCUCAGCCGGUUAGAGCGCGGCACUCAUAAUGCUGAGGUCGAGAGUUCGAGUCUCUCCCUAGCCACCA